CUCCUCUCGUCCCUCUCCUCCUGCGCGUGCACCGCUGCCCUCAUCACCACGGGCUGCCUCCCCGCGUGCUCCCUGACUGCCCUGCGCCAUAGAACCGUGCCCGUCCGCUCCACGUGCUCGGCUGCUUCGCCCACGCCAAGGAACCCAAGCCGGAGCCCCAGCUGCCUCGCCGGAUUCGCGUCGUCCUCGACAUUACACCCGCCGGCGACCUCCGUCGAAUUCGUCAUCAUCGGGCCUUCCCCGAGCUCGCUAUGCACCUCUACAGGGCCCAUGUGAGCUUCCGCCUCCUUCCCCCUCUGUCCUUCUCUUAAUUCCACCGACGUAGGCGCUGCUGCUCGACUGGCCUGAGCUCGCUCCGCCCGGCGCCCUCUGGCCGCUUUUCCGCCUGCGCAGGGCCACGCUCCGGCUAGACUGGUUGCGUCUCGUACGCGCCCCGUUCGCGAAGUCCACGGGCCGCGGCCUCGCCUUGUGCGCGCAUCCUCCCGCAGCCACCUGCGUCGCGCCGAACGGCUCUCGUUGCGCCCUGCCUCUCCCUAGGUCGAGCCCGGCUGCACACCACGUCGACGUUGCCGUCUCUCGCUCGCCCCGCCCCGCUGGCCGCAGCGCCCGUCGCUGGGCGCCCGCGCCUCCUGUCGCUUGCGCCGCCCGCUUUGCCUCGUCGUCGCCCCGCGCACGGCCUCACCUCCCCGCUGUAGCCACUGCCGUCAAGCCUGCGGCCCACCUUCGCCCGUCCGCCCCCGUUGCUGCCCUCGCCGUCCGCCAUUGCCCCGCCUGCCGCUCGCGCCAUUGCUCAUCGCCGCCCCGCACUGCCGUUGUUGGCAGCUGUCGGCGCCCCGCCCCGGGCGGGCUACGGCCUCCACGGGCGCCCGCCCCGCUUCACCACCUGACAUCCAGCGCCCGACAACCCACCCCGGUCGGCCUGGGCCAUUAACCAGAGGGGGGCGCCCUUGUAAAUAAUAAUAAAAAAAGAUAAUAAAAAUGAAAAUAUUAUUUAUUAAAUAGGUUAUUAAUUAACUUAAUUAGCUUAAUUGAAUUAGCCUAAUUACCUAAGUUAGCUAAUUAAAACUAUUAGUUUAGUUAGGUCAAUGACAGAUGGGCCCCAUUGUCCUGUUUGACCUGUCAACAUUUAGUGUUGACCGCUGACAUCAUGAUGACGUCAUGCUGGUGCAAUAACUCUGUUUUAGAUUCAAUAUUAAUUUCAGAAAAUAUUUUAAAAUUUUGAAAAAUAAUGUAAAUUAAACCGUAACUUGGAUGAAAAAACUUUCUACAUGAAAGUUACUCAUAACGACGAGACGAAUCCGAACACACGGUCCUUUCGUCCGCCACACGUCCCUAGUAGCAAACGUUGAACUUUUCCCCUCCGGUUCAUCUGUUUUCCCCCUUCACCAGUAUCGCCUAACACUGUGUUAGAACACCUCUAGCCCCGCUUAUUGUCUUGUUAUGCAUAUGUUUGUGUGUAUUUACUGUUUCUUCCCCCUCUUCUCUCCGGUAGACCCCGAGACCGAUGCCGAUGUCCCUGUGAUCGACUACGUCGCCGACGACCCUUUUUCCCUUUCAGCGGAGCUUCCAGGCAAGCCCCCCCUUUGAUCAUCCCGAUAUCGCACAUUCCAUUCUCCCAUGCUUGCAUUAAUUUUGCAACUGUAAUUGAUUGCUCCUAUUCUGAUGCAUAGCCUGCUUUUGUAAACUGCUAUUGUACCUUACCAGUUUAUCCUAAACUGCUUAGUAUAGGUUGGUCAGUGAUCCAUCAGUGACCCCCACCUUGUCCUUGUCGCCCCUGCUUCAUCAUCGAUGACUCGAUCAACAUGAUAGACGACCAGAGCCCGACACUUCACUUCACAUCAUGCCCUUUUUGUUGCUCGACUCUACAGAGUUACCAUCGAGUGCCGAGGGUGGUACCUCAUACAUCACUCCUGAUGAAAUCUCUGUAGUGUAGCUAUUCGGUCGUGGUCAUCGAGGGUGAUUCCUCCUUAACCACUUCCGAUAUGACUUUGUCGUGCAACCCCUCAAGUGUGAACCUCGAGGGUGGUUCCUCUUACGUUCACCUUGAUGAUUACAUCGAGUGGAAUCCACCGAGGGUGAUUCCACGGGUUUUCCCCUUGAUGUGUGGACACACGGUUACCUUGACAUUACUUGAGACCAUUGAUGAAGUCGUGUCGGCCCUCAGGGGUACCCGCGAAUUGAUGUGAAAGUCAGGCGGGCCCGCAGAGCACCCACGAGUUUUCCAUGUGGCACGACCAUGGAGUCUGGGCCCUUGCCGUAAGUCCACGAGACGGGGCGACGGGGUCACAUUAUCGUGAGUCUCUGCUUGUCUCCGUGAGCCCCCAAUGCACUAACAAGUUUGGGUAUUUGUUCUGAGUUGGCCUCUGGCCUUUACGCACUAACCACCACGCGAGAAUAGUGAUGAGCCUCGAUGUCGUGGUAUCAGCCGAAGCUUUGUCAGAUGUUCAGUUCAGCAUUGCGGCACGGCUUGGUCGGCGCCCCAGUGGAGGUGGCCUGGAUCGCCCUGCGCGCAACGAUCCGGAGUGCAAGGGGCGAUGGGCCCAGACCCCGGAGUGCUUAGGAUGUAGACUGGUAGGGACCUCUCUGCUGAGCCUAGGUAGGGCUGCGACGUGUUGAUCUUCCGAGGCCGGGCAUUGACCCCAGAAAGGUGUGUCCGGCCAGAGUAAUCGAGCGUGUUGGGUAACGUGAUGCACCCCUGCAGGGAAGUUAUAUACUCGAAUACCGUGUCCACGGUAAUGGAUGUUCAGACUUAUAUCCUGAUCUUAUAUAACUAGAAAUGGAUACUUGAGUUAUGUGAUGGAUAUGUGGCUCUGAGAUUGCUUUCUCGCAGGGAGUCGAGGAAGGAUCUCUGGGCAUUGAUGCUACAACAUGCUUGUUAAAUAUUAAAAUGCUACUCUUUACUCUUCUACAUGCUGCAAGAUGCUUGGAGCUACUUGAAGAUGCUAGUCUUCGAUAGACUAGGCCUUCCACCCUCUAUUUUGGCAUUCUGUAGUUCAGUCCACAGAUACAAACCUUCCAUUUGAUAUCAAUGCACACUUAGUAUAGAUCUGAUGCUUGCGAGUACUUUGGGUGGGUACUCAUGAUUGCUUUGCUACCCCCUUUUCCCCCUUCUUUCUUCUUUCCGGUUGUUGCAACCAGAUGGUGGAUCCCUGGAGCAAGAUGCCAUCGCCGAUGGAUGCUAGUACGUGAAGAUCGCCGACGACCAGGAGUAGUUAGGAGGUCCCUGGCAGGAGGCCUUGCCUCUUCGAUCGUUUUUGCUUUUGUGCUAACCUUCUUAAGGCAUCCUUGUUUAACUUAUGUCUGUACUCAGAUAUUGUUGCUUCCGCUGACUCUUGUGUAUCGAGCUAUGUAUUCAAGCCCUCGAGGCCCCUGGCUUGUAAUAUAAAGCUUGUAUUAUUUUAUUUGUGUCUAGAGUUGUGUUGUGAUAUCUUCCCGUGAGUCCCUGAUCUUGAUCGUACACAUUUGUGUGUAUGAUUAGUGUACGAUUGAAUCGGGGGCAUCACAAGUUGGUAUCAGAGCCGACUGCCUGUAGGAUCCCCCUUUCCAACUCCUUGGGCGAAGUUGAGUCUAGUGUUUGAAAAUUUGUUUUACUAACAUGGAUGUGUGGCUUACGGGCCCACGUCGCCAUUGGGUGGUAUUAGGAUCUUUUAUUCCUCUACUAUGCUCUGGGACUCUGAUCUCUCUUCUAUUCGGUUAAUGAUUUUGCUAACUCUAACCUUAGGAUCUCGUGAUCACAUCCAUCCAGAGAUUUGUAUUAUGCCUUUCUUGAAUUGGGAGCCAGGAUCUGCUUCACUUUGUUCACGAGACGUAGAAAUCCUUCUAUCGAGGGCACCCUGCAUCGUCCCCUGCAGAUUCCUCGCUCUAGUGGUUUUCUCCGACGAUGAUGUAGCCUUUGCUAUGUCUCGUUGUUGUAUCCUUCCAUCGUGUGUGUGUGCCGCCUAGUAUGUCUAGGAUGAUCCUCUUGUCUGAACUCCUACUAACAACGUGUGUUUGGCUCUAUAUAUGUAUCUGUAUGUCUUUAAUGACUACUGCUUUGUACAUACUGCGCCUUUGCUCACUGUUCAAGUUACAUCAUGAAUGACUCCUUACACCUGCUCCACCCCCCUAUUAAAUUGCUUCCUGAUAUUUUAGCAGGAUGGCUGACGAUCAUCCACCUCCACCCUAUAUUGCCGCAAUGAUGCAGCAGUUUGAGCUGAAUCGUCAGUUUAUGAUUGGAGUAAUGGCCCAGUUUCCAAACCAGAGUACUCAUCAACAGCCUGCCCCAAUAACACUACAAGAAUUCGUGUGCCUCAACCCGUCCAUUUUCCGCAACUCCACCAAUCCCAUGGAUGCUGAUGAUUGGCUUCGUGACAUCCAGUUUGAGAUGGAGUCAGCUAAUGUGGCCCCUGCCAGUUACGUCACCUUUGCGACAUUCCACUUGAAAGGUCCAAUUGCUCAAUGGUGGGAAAGCCACAGGGGUAUGCUGCAUGCAGAGACUGUAACCACUUGGCAGGAAUUUCAUAGCCUUCCGUGCACGACACAUUCCUCAAGGUCUGAUGGACCAGAAGAAGAAGGAGUUCCGCAAAAUCUCACGGGGCACAAUGACUGUGGAUGAAUAUUAGAGGAAAUUCCUUGAAUUAACCCGCUAUUCUCCGGAUGACGUCUGCACUGACGCUCGCAAGCAAGAGAAAUUUUGUGAAGAACUGCAUCCCGAUAUAAAGCUCGCACUUGUUGCUCAUGAUUGUGCAGACUUUGCGACACUUGUCAACCAAGCUUUCCGAACUGAAACUGGUCUAACUGAGUACCAGGAGUCGCUCAAGCGUACUCGCGAUGUUGGCCCAUCCUCGAGUCAACCUGCUCAGAAACGCCGAGUCUGGAUCCCACACAAUGUUCAUCACCGACCUGCUCCAACACCAACGCCGUCUUAUGUUGCACCUCGUCUGCCUCCGCCACCGAGACAACCAACGAUUCAGGCUGGACAAUCCAAUGUUGUGGCUCCUCCCCAUAAUGAUGGUUUACGCCGCAAGUGUGGACAACCAAGACACCUUGCCCUCAACUGUCGCCCUGGUCAGCCGCAUAAUGCUUCACGUCCUCCUGUUGGUCGUAAGAAGGGUCGUCGAACACAUCAUACCGGAAGUUGUAGUGCCGGACCACCUGCUAUGAGUGUUGGUCAAGUCACCCAUGUCAAGAUUGAAGAAGCUCACGAGUCUCCAAAAAUUGUGAUGGGUACCCUUCGCGUUAAUUCAGUGCCCACUUACGUUCUCUUCGAUUCAGGAGCAUGACAUGCUUUUGUGUCCCAACAAUUUGCCCAGUUGCAUGGGUGGGAUAUGGAAAAUUUGCCCACUCCCUUAGCGAUUCAAUCUCUGGGAUCCAAGUGGCAAACCACAAUGUUAUGCCCUUGCAACCAAAUCGAGAUUGGAGGUCUACUUUUUCCGGCUUCUCUCAUUAUACUCGGACCUUCCAACAUAGACAUCAUUCUUGGUAUGGACUGGUUGACAGCCCAUAGUGCUAAGAUCGACUGUGCUACCAAGACAGUCCAACUCACUCACCCUUCUGGCCAGACAGUCCAAUACUCAGUCCUAGCAGCUCAGGAUGCCGAGAAUCAGAUAUAUGUUCUAAAUGCAUUGAAUGCCUCACCUCUUGAGGGAAUAGAGAACAUUCCAGUUGUUCGUGAUUUCAAAGAUGUCUUCCUAGAAGAACUUCUAGGAAUACCCCCUGCUAGAGCGGUCGAAUUCGUCAUAGACUUGAAGCCGGGCACUACUCCUAUUGCCAAGCGACCCUACAAGAUGCCGCCUCAUGAACUCCUUGAGCUUAAGGAGGAAAUCGAUACUUCACUUUGUCAGGGCUUUAUCCGUCCAAGUUCCUCUGCUUGGGGAGCACCUUCUCUCUUUGUCAAGAAGAAGGAUGGAACUAAUUGUUUGGUCCAAGAUUACCGAUCUAUCAACCAGGCAACAAUUCAAAACAAGUAUCUUCCUAGAAUCAACGAUCUGUAUGAACAACUUGCUGGUUCCUCAGUACUCUCUAAACUUGAUUUGAGGUUGGGUUACCACCAAAUCCGGGUUCGUGAAGAAGAUAUUCCCAAGACCGCCUUCGUUACUCGAUAUGGUUCAUACGAGUACACCGUCAUGUCCUUCGGCUUGACCAAUGCUCCAGCGACAUUCUCUUGUUUGAUGAACUAUAUAUUCAUGGAAUACCUCGACAAGUUCGUCGUGGUUUAUCUGGAUGAUAUCCUUGUAUACUCCAAGAACAAAGAAGAACGUGAUGAACACCUUCGACUUGUUUUGGAAAAGCUUCGGGAACAUCAACUCUAUGCAAAGUAUUCUAAAUGUGAAUUCUGGCUUCCUGAAGUGACCUACCUUGGGCAUGUCAUCUCCAAGGAUGGUAUUGUCGUCAACCCCGAGCGAGUUCAGGAUAUUCUCGAUUGGACUCCUCCGAAGAAUGUCAAGCAAGUCAGAAGUUUUCUCUGACUCACUGCCGUCGAUUUGUCGAGAACUUCUCCAAGAUUGCCAAGCCCCUGACUGGUCUGCUUCACAAGGGCGUUAAGUUUGAUUGGACAGAAAAGUGUCAGGAAAGUUUCCAGGCACUCAAAGACAAGCUGACUUCUGCCCAAGUGCUUGCUCCACCUGAUACUAAGAAGGACUUCGUCAUUUACUGCGACGCUUCACGUCAAGGAUUAGGCGGUGUUCUAAUGCAAGGGCGCAGAGUGAUUGCUUAUGCCUCUCGUCAACUGCGCCCUCACGAAGAGAACUACCCAGUUCAUGACCUCGAGCUUGCUGCUAUCAUACAUGCACUGAAACAGUGGCAACAUUACCUUCUUGGUAAUCGUUGCAAGAUAUUCACCGACCACCAAAGUCUGAAGUACAUGUUUACUCAGCCAAAUUUGAACCUCUGUCAGCAGAGAUGGAUGGAGACGUAGAAGACUUUGAUUUCGGUAUUUCCUAUACCCCAGGCAAGGCUAAUGUAAUGGCUGAUGCUUUGAGCCGCAAGUCAUAUUGCAACCACCUCCGGGUUCACCAAGUUCAGCCCUUGCUAGUUGAAGAAUUCAGAAAGCUGAACCUCCAUGUUGUUCCUCCUGGUGCACUCGCUCCCCCUCCUCCAGAGUGCCGCAAAAUGAACCUCCAGGUUGUUCCCCAGGGUUCUCUCAAUACCCUGGUUGCUAAACCGGAUCUCGUGGAUAACAUCAAGGAGCUGCAGAAAUAUGACUAUGAAGCCCACAAGAUUAAGCGCUACCUCAUAGAAGGAAAGCCCUCAUUCUUCACUGUUGCUGAUGAUGGCACUUUGUACUUCAAAGUCCGCCUAGUGGUGCCGUGUAAGGAGAAAAACCUAGAUAUGACUAAGGAGGUUAUGGAAGAAGCUCAUGACACUCUGUUGUCUAUUCAUCCCGGUAGCACCAAGAUGUACCAAGACAUUCGUCAAAGAUUCUGGUGGUCAAACAUGAAGCAAGACAUUGCUCGCUAUGUUGCUGAAUAUGACAUUUGCCGUCGUAUCAAAGCAGAACAUCAAAGGCCUGUUGGAACUCUGCAACCUAUCUCUAUUCCUGAAUGGAAAUGGGACCAUGUUGAAAUGGACUUCGUCACUAGUUUUCCCAAGUCACAUAAAGGUAAUGAUGUUAUUCUUGUCGUCAUUGACCGGCUUUCCAAGGUUGCACACUUUCUGUCCGUCAAAGAAACGAUCACUGCUAGUCAGCUGGCAACUCUCUAUAUGUCCAGAAUUGUUUCACUUCACGAUAUUCCGCUGGUAAUCAGCUCAGACCGUUGCAGCUUAUUCACUUCAAGAUUCUGGGCAAGUUUCCAAGAAGCUAUGGGAACUCAUCUGUCAUUCAGCACCACUUUUCACCCUCAGUCUCAGGGACAAGUUGAACGCGUCAACCAAGUUCUCGAAGACAUGCUUCGAGCUUGUGUUAUUUCCUUCGGCAAGAAAUGGGAGGAAUCUCUCCCGUAUGCUGAGUUCUCCUACAACAAUAGCUAUCAAGCUAGUCUGAAGAUGGCCCCCUUCGAAGUGUUAUAUGGAAGAAAGUGUCGAACCCCUCUGAACUGGUCAGAAACUGGGGAACAUCCACUCUUCGGUCCGGAUAUUAUCCAACACGCCGAAGAACAAGUCCGCGUCAUUCACAAGAAUCUCAAGACUGCUCAGUCAUGUCAAAAGAGUCAGUAUGACCGUCAUCAUAAGGACAUGGUCUAUCAACCUGGUGAAAAGGCUUAUCUUUGAGUCACACCAAUGAAGGGUGCUCACCGCUUCGGGGUCAAGGGCGAGCUAGCUCCUCGCUAUAAUUGGCCCUUUCACUAUUCUCGAGGGACGUGGAAAAGUGGCAUACCAGUUGGAGCUUCCGUCGAACCUUUCUCAGGUUCAUGAUGUGUUCCACGUGUCAACUCUGCCGCUGCUUCAAGGACCCAAUCCGAGUAAUGGAUCAUGAAGUGCUCUAGUUGCAACAGGACCUCUCCUAUAAAGAGCAUCCGGUCCGCAUUCUCGACCAAGCUCAAUGCCGCACACGUCACGAGGCGAUCAAGUUCCUCAAGGUCCAGUGGUCGCAUCACUCUGAAGACGAAGCCACUUGGGAAUGCGAGGAUCAUCUUCGUGAAGAAUACCCCGCUUUGUUUCCUUCUACCUCCUAAAUCUCGGGAUGAGAUUUCUUGUAGUGGGGGAGAAUUGUAACGCUCGGACAAUUAUGCAAUAGUAAUCACGCUAAUGGUGCCAUCAUCGAUUUUUACUGUUGUUAAGCUCGCGUUGAUUCAAAGUCGGUUCCAACUGAUAGCUUAAAAUAAGUAAAUAAAAGAAAAGUUGAAAACAAGCAAACAAGAAAACAAAUCAAAAGGCCCCUAGCCCAACUGGGCCAAUCAGCCCAGCCGGCCGGCCCACCUCUCCCUCUCCCUUAUCCGCCCACGCACCCAAAAUAUCUAGACAGAUCGCCCCACUCCCCCCACGUCUCCCUCUCGUUCCCCUCCUCUCGUCCCUCUCCUCCCUUGCGUGCACCGCAGCCGUCAUCGCCACGGCCUGCCACCCCGCGCGCUCCCCGACUGCCCUGCGCCAUAGGACCGUGCAUGUCCGCUCCUACGUGCUCUGCUGCUUCGCCCAAGCCAAGGAACUCAAGCCGGAGCCCCAGCUGCCUCGCGGGUCCGCGUCGUCCUCGACCUUACACCCGCCUGUGACCUCCGUCGAAUUCUUCAUCACCGGGCCUUCCCCGAGCUUGCUAUGCACCUCUAUAGGGCCCCUGUGAGCUACCGCCUCCUCCCCCUCUGUCCUUCUCUUAAUUCCACCGACGUAGGCGCUGCUGCUCAACUAGCCUGAGCUCGCUCCGCCUCGCGCCCUCUGGCCGCGUCUUCGCCUGUGCAGGGCCACGCUCCGGCUAGACCGUCCGCGUCUUGUACGCGCGCCGUUCGCGAAGUCCACGGGACGCGGCCCAGCCUUAUGCGUGCGUCCUCCUGUAGCCACCUGCGCCGCGCCGAACGGCUCUCGUCGCGCCCUGCCUCUCCCUGGGUCGAGCCCGCCUGCACACCACGCCGCUGCUGCCAUCUCUGGAUCGCCCCGCCCCGCUGGCCGCAACGCCUAUCUCUGGGCGCCUGCACCCCCUGUCGCCUGCGCCGCCCGCUUCGCCUCGUCAUCACCCUGCGCACGGCCUCGCCUCCCCGCUGCAGCCACUGCCACCAAGCGUGCGGCCCACCUCCGCCCGUCCGCCCCGUUGCUGCCCGCACCGUUCUCCAUUGCCCCGCCUGCCGCUCGCGCCAUUGCUAGUCGCCGCCCCGUACUGCCUCCCNNNNNNNNNNNNNNNNNNNNNNNNNNNNNNNNNNNNNNNNNNNNNNNNNNNNNNNNNNNNNNNNNNNNNNNNNNNNNNNNNNNNNNNNNNNNNNNNNNNNNNNNNNNNNNNNNNNNNNNNNNNNNNNNNNNNNNNNNNNNNNNNNNNNNNNNNNNNNNNNNNNNNNNNNNNNNNNNNNNNNNNNNNNNNNNNNNNNNNNNNNNNNNNNNNNNNNNNNNNNNNNNNNNNNNNNNNNNNNNNNNNNNNNNNNNNNNNNNNNNNNNNNNNNNNNNNNNNNNNNNNNNNNNNNNNNNNNNNNNNNNNNNNNNNNNNNNNNNNNNNNNNNNNNNNNNNNNNNNNNNNNNNNNNNNNNNNNNNNNNNNNNNNNNNNNNNNNNNNNNNNNNNNNNNNNNNNGCCUCGCCCCGCCCCGGGCGGGCUGCCGCCUCCAUGGGCGCCCGCCCCACUUCACCGCCUGACGCCCAGCGCCCGACAACCCACCCCGGUCGGCCUGGGCCACUGACCAGAGGGGCUGCCCUUGUAAAUAAUUAAAAAAAGAUAAUAAAAAUGAAAAUAUUAAUUAAUUAAAUAGGUAAUUAAUUAACUUAAUUAGCUUAACUUAAUAAGCCUAAUUACCUAAUUUAGUUAAUUAAAAUUGUUAGUUUAGUUAGGUCAAUGACAGAUGGGCCCCAUUGCCCUGUUUGACCAGUCAACGUUUAGUGUUGACCGCUGAUGUCAUGAUGACGUUAUGCUGGUGCAAUAACUCUGUUUUAGCUUGAAUAUUAAUUUCAAAAAAUAUUUUAAAACUUCGAAAAAUCAUGUAAAUUAAACCGUAACUCGGAUCGAAAAAACUUUGUACAUGAAAGUUGCUCAGAACGACGAGACGAAUCCGAACACGCAGUCCGUUCAUCCGCCACACGUCCCUAGCAUAGAAAAUGUUGAACUUUUCCCCUCCGGUUCAUCUAUCUGACACACGUCCGGAACUGGGAAAACUUUCCCAGAUGUUUUCACCCUUCGCCAGUAUCGCCUAGCACUGCGUUAGAACACCUCUAGCCGCGCUUAUUGUCUUGUUAUGCAUAUGUUUGUGUAUAUUUAAUGUUUCUUCCCCCUCUUCUCUCCAGUAGACCCCGAGACCGAUGCUGAAGUCCCUGUGAUCGACUACGUCACCGACGACCCUUCUUCCCUUUCAGCGGAGCUUCCAGGCAAGCCCCCCCUUGAUCAUCCCGAUAUCGCCCAGUCCAUUCUCUCAUGCUUGCAUUGUAUUUUGCAACUGUAAUUGAUUGCUCCUAUUUUGAUGCAUAGCCUGCUUUUGUAACCUGCUAUUGUACCUUACAUGUUUAUCCUAAACUGCUUAGUAUAGGUUGGUUAGUGAUCCAUCAGUGACCCCCACCUUGUCCUUGUCGCCCCUGCUUCAUCAUCGACGACUCGAUCAACAUGAUCGACGACCAGAGCCCGACACCUCACUUCACAUCACGCCCUUUUUGUUGCUCGACUCUACAGAGUUACCAUCGAGUGCCGAGGGUGGUACCUCAUACAUCACUCCCGAUGAGAUCUCUGUAGUGUAGCUAUUCGGUCGUGGUCAUCGAGGGUGAUUCCUCCUUAACCACUUCCGAUACGACUCUGUCGUGCAACCCCUCAAGUGUGAACCUCGAGGGUGGUUCCUCUUACGUUCACCUUGAUGAUUACAUCGAGUGGAAUCCAUCGAGGGUGAUUCCUCGGGUUUUCCCCUUGAUGUUUGGACACACGGUUACCUUGACUUUACUUGAGACCAUUGAUGAAGUCGGGUCGGCCCUGAGGGGUACCCGCGAGUUGAUGUGAAAGUCGGGCGGGCCCGUAGAGCACCCGCGAGUUUUCCACGUGGCAUGUUCGGGCAGUCUGGGCCCUUGUCCUAAGUCCACGGGACGGCGCGACGGGGAGUCUCUGCUUGUCUCCGCGAGCCCCCAAUGCACUAACAGGUUUGGGUAUUUGUUCUGAGUUGGCCUCUGGCCUUUACACACUGACCACCACGCGAGAAUAGUUAUGGGCCUCGACGUCGUGGUAUUAGCCGAAGCUUUGUCAGACGUCCAGUUCAGCAUUGCGGCACGGCCUGGUCGGCGCCCUAGUGGAGGUGGCCUAGAUCGCCCUGCGCGCAACAAUUUGGAGUGCAACGGGCGAUGGGCCCAGACCCCGGAGUGCUUAGGAUGUAGACCGGCGGGGACCUCUCUGCUGAGCCUAGGUAGGGCUGCGACGUGUUGAUCUUCCGAGGCCGGGCGUUGAUCCCAGAAAGGUGUGACCGGCCAGAGUGAUCGAGCGUGUUGGUUAACGUGGUGCACCCCUGCAGGGAAGUUAUAUAUUCGAAUACCGUGUCCACAGUAAUGGACGUUCGGACUUAUAUCCUGAUCUUAUAUAACUAGAAAUGGAUACUUGAGUUAUGUGAUGGAUAUGUGGCUCUGAGAUUGCUUUCUCGCAGGGAGUCAAGGAAGGAUCUCUAGGCGUUGAUGCUACAACAUGCUUGUUAAAUAUUAAAAUGCUACUCUUUACUCUUCUACAUGCUGCAAGAUGCUUGGAGCUGCUUGAAGAUGCUAGUCUUCGAUAGACUAGUCCUUCCACCCUCUAUUCUGGCAUUCCGCAGUUCAGUCCACAAAUACAAACCUUCCAUUUGAUACCAAUGCAUACUUAGUAUAGAUCUGAUGCUUGCGAGUACUUUGGAUGGGUACUCACGGUUUCUUUGCUACCCCCUUUUCCCCCUUCUUUCUUCUUUCUGGUUGUUGCAACCAGAUGGUGGAUCCCUGGAGCUAGAUGCCACCGCCGAUGGGUGCUACUACGUGAAGAUCCCCGAUGACCAGGAGUAGUUAGGAGGUCCCAGGCAGGAGGCCUUGCCUCUCGAUCGUUGUUGCUUUUGUGCUAGCCUUCUUAAGGCAUCCUUUUUUAACUUAUGUCUGUACUAUGAUAUUGUUGCUUCCGCUGACUCUUGUGUAUCAAGCUACGUAUUCGAGCCCUCGAGGCCCCUGGCUUGUAAUAUAAAGCUUGUCUUAUUUUAUUUGUGUCUAGAGUCGUGUUGUGAUAUCUUCCCGUGAGUCCCUGAUCUUGAUCGUACACAUUUGCGUGUAUGAUUAGUGUACGAUUGAAUCAGGGGCGUCACAUGAAGUCUCCCCCAAGUAGCCAGGGACCGGCCAUGGUGGCGUGGAGCUCAUGGAGCUCAGUAAGGAAAGCCAUCUUAUCAUCGUCGGCCUGAGGGCCAUACAUGUUGGUGAUCCACCAGGGGUGCUCGUCUGAUGGGGUGGAGACGACUGGGGAGACAUGGUAGGUGCCAAUUGAGGGGCUAGAGAGGUUGACGAGGUCGAGUCGCCACGCGAGGAGAAUGCCACCCCUCGUUCCUGCGGCCGACAGCCAGUAGAAGCCGGUGAAGAGGGAGCCGAGUGUCUCAAGGAUGACCUCGGGCGUGACCAAAUCCAGCUUGGUCUCAGAGAGGCACACGAUGGAAGGAGAGGCAGCAGAGAUGACGGUCCGGAUUGCGGUAUGCUUGGCACGGCAAUUAAGCCCACGGACAUUACAGAAUAUGAUUUUAAGGUUUUGAUCCAUAUGAAGGAGGGUACACGGUGGGACGGGGUGGGAGAGAAAUCAGAUCUCAACCAGCCUCUGCUGAGCCUGGGACGUGCCGUCGAACAGUUCGGGUGGACGUGCCAUCCAUAAAAAUCUGCAAAAGCCUGGACCACCUCAGCGGCGAGAGGACGGUCGAAGAGGCGUGUGUACUUCUCGAGCACUGCCGCGGAAACGGGCGCGUCCUCCUCGAGGAGACCCAGACGGCGGAGAAGAACCCGUUUCGCUCUUGUCUCGGAGUCCAGGCCCUUGUCAUGCAUGACAAUGCGUCCACUGCGCCUCGGCGUGAAGUUGGGAGGUAGCUGGCCCCGCUUGCGGCGAGCGGGCGGCGUCGACAAGAUGGGGUUCCCGGAGGUCCGGAGGUCGUCGAUGUAGUCUAGCGCGUGCUGGGGCACGGGCCAAGAAGCCCGCCCGUUGGACGUGGGCGCGGGAAGCUGCAUGGCGAUCGGGGAAUUGGCCGCACUAGCAAUGACACGCGGCGCGCAUGAAGUGGCCUCCAACACGCCCGGUUGGGGCCCGGGGAUCUGAGCCGGGCCAGCCGAUGGGGAGGAGGGCCUCGGAGACGGCCCCACCAGGUUGUCUUUAGUGGCUAGCGGGGUGGGGGAUGCAUGGCCAUCCAAUGGCUGGUUGGCCAGCUCUAGGGGCGUGGGGGAGACCACCUAGGGAUCCGCAGGGGGGUCCGCCACGACCGGAUCAGAGGGCUCGGGAUUGCCAAAAAGGGAAGCUUUGGGGUCUGCAGCGGGCAUGUCAGGAACGCUGCCAGGCGGUGAUGGGCUGGAGGGGUGCAGGCACAGAUCAGCCGCAUCGAUUGCGUCAGGAGGAGGCGUCAGCAGCAGUGGGGGGAAAUGGUGUCGUUGAUGGGAUCUGAGGCGGCCUCAACCAGUAGUUGGCCGCCACGGUCGAAGGGUGGACCGGCCCACGUCCCGGUUUGAAUAGCCAGGACCAAGUCGCUGGUCGUUGCUUGGAGCGUAGCGGGAGUUGCAGCCGUGAUAGGGGAAAGCCGCACAUGGACUCGACGCCCACGGGAAAAGCCGCCAACAGGGGGUGCGGCCCGAGGACGCCAUGCCGCCCACGGGACGGCGGCGCUGCACGCCACCGGCGAUGAUGCCCAAAAGAACUGCCACCAUGGCCACGGCUUGGACCCGGUUGAGAACCAUCGGGGGGCGGGAAGUCGUGCGGGCGCGGCCAUGCAUCCGAGCAGGGCGGGGAGCCACGACCUGCGUCGCCACCGUCGCUGGAGGCAAGGUGGGUGGGGGAUGGUGGACAGCCAGGAAGGCGGUAGUCGGUAGAGCGCCGGACAUGAAUGGAGACAGGAAAACGUAGCAGCUCGACGGUGAAGUGGUCGACGGUGCUUGGGUCGGCAUAGGCAUAGGCGUAGGGCUCGGCCAACAGAAGCUCAGAAGACCGUGGGAUGGAGUCGGGGUCGGCGGUCCAGGCAGAGAGCCGGAAAACGGACAUGUCGCUGUCGUCGAGAGUCUCCAGGGCGAGUCGGUCGAUGAGGCAAAACGGCGACAGCAACUGGAUGGCGGAGGAGAUAUCCCAGCCAUGCUAUGGGAUUCCGGUGAUCUCGAUGUCGAAGGAGAUGCGCAACGAGAUGGACUCAGCGCCGGUGAGCCUGCUCCAAGGAUGGAGGAUGAGGCGGAACCGGGGGGCGCGGAAGGGGGCCGCAACCACGCGCGCACGGGUAGCCGCAUCCACGAACCGCAAGAGGAACUCGUCGUCACGGCCGCGAUGGACGGAGAACGUGUCUGGGCCGAGACAGAAGUACGCAGAGAGCGCGUCGGCAAUGUCAGCCGCGGAGACGCCAUGCCAGUUCCCAGCGACCAUGGCGAUGAAAGCCAGGUCAAGAGCACGCUCAGCCUCCUCGAGCCACGCGGUGCGUGGUAUGUAGCAGAUGACACCAAUCGGGCGGAGCGCGGGGUGACCCAUCAUGGCGAUGGCCGCAGGAGCAGAGCCUGCCACGCCAGAGGGGGGCGGCGGGGAGGCGGAGCUGGGGGCGGGUGACGACGGAGCACAAGAGGGGCCGGAGGACGCGGCCGGGGGGGCGGGGCCUGCCACGCUGGUGGCGGAGGAGCCGGACGAGCGCGGAGGAUACACGCGCGGUUGCUUGGCGGCAUGGGCGCCGAACGGGGGGGAGUACCGGGGGUUGGUGUAGAAACGGGAGAUGUGCCCGAAGAAGCGGCAUCACCGGCAGCGCACGUCCCUCCUGCACUCCGAGCGGGGGUGCCCGGUGCCAAGGCAGCGCGGGCACUCGUCCGCCCGCGGCGAGGGGGUGCGGUGGUCAGCGAACGGCGGGGAUCGAACAGCACGUCGGUGAGGGGCACGGCAAGGGCGCGGACGCCUCCUGCCCGAAGCCAUCUCCCAGUCGCCAUCAGCGUCUAGAUCGGCCUCGUUCUCGACCCGGUGCACCUCCGAGCGGAGCCCAGGACGCGCAGCGGGUGGCGAGGGUGGUGGAGGCGGCGAGGGGGAGGCGAGCGCCGGGGAGGAGGAGAGCACGAUGCGGUAGGAGCGGCCGCCAGAUUCCGCCGAAGAGGGGCUGGAUUCCAUCUAGCGGAGCUCGCGAGAACGGCCCUGGGCCGGGGGGAAGGGGAACGGGAGGCCAUGCCAGGCGGAGGCGCCAGAGCCGUCGCGGGGUUGGUGGACACCGGGGCCGGAGUGGCCGGCGGCGACGGUGGUGGGAGCACGGGGCGCGGAGCGGAGCCUUCACGAGCCUUCAAGCGUUCUUAUCAUUUGUUUCCUAAACUGGAAAAUGUAAAACGAUUAGUUAUGUUUACUCUAUUUUAUCUUUUAUAUUUGUGUCAACAAACAUUACAGUGUUGUUAGUGACCGUAUUCAGUUCAAUAUAUUUUGUGGCCAUGCAGUGUCUCCAUUUUACCCGGCCAUCAUUCUCUUUAGUAUGGGAGUACACGGAAAGAGCAAAAAUAUACACAACCGUGAUGGCGGUCGUGCUUGUGUGCUUAUUAGCUUAUUAUUACUGUAUUACCCAUGAUUUUGUGUUUCUGUGCUGGCUUUCUACAUAACUAGUGAUAGGUUUUUUUUGUAAAUGUAUGGGCACAUGAAACAUAUUAUAGUUGUGCAAACAUAACCGUGUAUAUUAGUCAAUAUAAUCAACGAAAUCUCAUAUACUCAGGGAAAAGGAAGGUUUAUAUAUACAAUUUGGCUUGGUAUAACAACUUACACAUCAAUAUAUGUAAUAAAUACACCCAAUCAAUCAGCCAAGACAAGCAACAUAAAAAAUAAACAUGUAACAGGAGACAUGACUGGUCAUUAUAGAUUGUAUAGAUGGUGCAUUAAUGAAAUCUUAGAAGUACAGAUUUAAAGGGGGAAAAAAUCUUAGGACUCUACCCAAAGGGCCACCAUGUUCAGCAACAAAGAAAAAUCAGGCGAGCCCGGUGCACCUAGGCACACAUUCAUAGAGAAGAGUGAUAACAAAGAUUUCAAUUAGUUGGGGAAUCAAAUAAAUAAUACAACAACUCUAAUAAUGCAGCUUCAAAUCACUGUGUUUGGCAGGUCUUGUUUACUGAAUAGGACUAUCUUAUGCAAGUCGACCAGCUGGUUUCAUAUUUCAAUAUACCACUUAAAUCAAGUUGUUAUGGUAAAUGUUGUCCGUGAGCUGAUACAUGUUUUGAUGUUCAUAAUUAUUCACAACUGAUGUUUGAUUCUUUUAGAUCUACGAUGAUCAAGACUUACCCUUCGUAAAAUUAAGUCUACUUCCAUAGGGGGAAUGGUGGGCAUAAUGGGUAUUUAUUUAACCUUUCACAUCCUUAUUUGUUCAGUAGUUUUUGUUCUUAUUUUUAAUCAUGCUUUUGUUCUACCUUAACAUAUGUUAAGUGUUUCAGGAUGAGAAGGGAAUUGAGAUGGGAGGAUAGGAGGAUGUGCAACGAGGAGACGCGGUCGCGCGACAUGGUCACACCAUAUGCGGAGGCAACGCGGGGUGAUGCGGCCACACGGUUCCGACAAGCAUGUGAGAAGCGAGAGGCGAGCGGAAGAUGCGGCGUUGCUGCUUCCAUGAAGCUGAUUCGUCGGGUUUCAAGAAAGCAUUCAACCAUC
Molecule: long non-coding RNA, 17336 nt
Filed under: Triticum aestivum (bread wheat)
Lineage: Eukaryota; Viridiplantae; Streptophyta; Magnoliopsida; Poales; Poaceae
Description: long non-coding RNA (TAES_LNC027600)
Source: RNAcentral